GUUUGAUCAUGGCUCAGGAUGAACGCUGGCGGCAUGCCUAAUACAUGCAAGUCGAACGGAGUGAAGCCUUCGGGUUUCAUUCAGUGGCGAACGGGUGAGUAAUACGCAGGGAACCUGGCCAUGGCAGGGGGAUACACUCUGGAAACGGAGCAUAAGACCCCAUAGGCAGUAAGGCGGCAUCGCCUUACUGUUAAAGAAAGCUGAAAGGCUUUGGCGAUGGAUGGACCUGCGGUGCAUUAGCUUGUUGGUGAGGCAACGGCUUACCAAGGCGAUGAUGCAUAGCCGGCCUGAGAGGGCGGACGGCCACACUGGGACUGAGACACGGCCCAGACUCCUGCGGGAGGCAGCAGUAGGGAAUUUUCGUCAAUGGGCGCAAGCCUGAACGAGCAAUGCCGCGUGAGUGAGGAAGGUCUUCGGACUGUAAAGCUCUGUUGCCGGGGAAAAAGGGGAAAUGCAGGAAAUGGCAUUUCAUGGAUGGUACCCGGCCAGAAAGCCACGGCUAACUACGUGCCAGCAGCCGCGGUAAUACGUAGGUGGCGAGCGUUAUCCGGAAUGAUUGGGCGUAAAGGGUGCGCAGGCGGUCUGUUAAGUCUGAAGGCAAAGGGAUGAGCUCAACUCAUUUAUGAUUCAGAAACUGGCAGACUUGAGGACAGGAGAGGGCGGUGGAACUCCAUGUGUAGCGGUAAAAUGCGCAGAGAUAUGGAAGAACACCAGUGGCGAAGGCGGCCGCCUGGCCUGUGACUGACGCUGAGGCACGAAAGCGUGGGGAGCAAAUAGGAUUAGAUACCCUAGUAGUCCACGCCGUAAACGAUGAGGAGCAGGUGUUGGGAGUGAAAUCUCAGUGCCGAAGCCAACGCAGUGACUCCUCCGCCUGGGGAGUAUGCACGCAAGUGUGAAACUCAAAGGAAUUGACGGGGGCCCGCACAAGCGGUGGAGUAUGUGGUUUAAUUCGAAGCAACGCGAAGAACCUUACCAGGUUUUGACAUCGGAUGCGAAGGCGCAGAGAUGCGCUGGAGGCUAUCAUCCAGACAGGUGGUGCAUGGUUGUCGUCAGCUCGUGUCGUGAGAUGUUCAGUUAAGUCUGGCAACGAGCGCAACCCCCGUGGUAUGUUACUAACGCAUUUGGGCGAGGACUCAUAUCAGACUGCCGGUGACAAACCGGAGGAAGGCGGGGAUGACGUCAAAUCAUCAUGCCCCUUAUGACCUGGGCUACACACGUACUACAAUGGCGUCUACAGAGGGAAGCGACCCUGAGAAGGGAAGCGAAACCGGAAAAGGGCGUCCCAGUUCGGAUUGAAGUCUGCAACCCGACUUCAUGAAGAUGGAAUCGCUAGUAAUCGCGGAUCAGCAUGCCGCGGUGAAUACGUUCCCGGGCCUUGUACACACCGCCCGUCAAACCAUGGAAGCCGGCAACGCCCGAAGCCGGUGGCAUAACCUUUUAGGAGUGAGCCGUCGAAGGCGGGGCCGAUGACUGGGGUUAAGUCGUAACAAGGUACCC
RNAcentral lists this ribosomal RNA (1497 nucleotides) under uncultured bacterium. RNAcentral describes it as "16S ribosomal RNA". It matches the Rfam family "Bacterial small subunit ribosomal RNA". The record is from RNAcentral.